Molecule: ribosomal RNA, 494 nt
Filed under: uncultured bacterium
Lineage: Bacteria
Description: partial 16S ribosomal RNA
Rfam family: Bacterial small subunit ribosomal RNA
Source: RNAcentral
GACGAACGCUGGCGGCGUGCUUAACACAUGCAAGUCGAACGGAAAGGCCUGCUUUCCCUUGUGGAUUGCGGGUACUCGAGUGGCGAACGGGUGAGUAACACGUGAGUGAUCUGCCCCCAACUUGGGUAUAAGCCUGGGAAACUGGGUCUAAUUCCCGAUAGGACUGCAGGGUGGUGCCUGUGGUGGAAAACGAUUUUCUAGUGGGUGGGGAUGAGCUCGCGGCCUAUCAGCUUGUUGGUGGGGUAAUGGCCUACCAAGGCGGCGACGGGUAGCCGGCCUGGGAGGGUGGACGGCCACAUUGGGACUGAGAUACGGCCCAGACUCCUACGGGAGGCAGCAGUGGGGAAUAUUGCACAAUGGGCGGAAGCCUGAUGCAGCGACGCCGCGUGGGGGAUGACGGCCUUCGGGUUGUAAACUCCUUUCGACCGCGAGGAAGCCACCUGGUUGGAAGGGUGGUGACGGUAGUGGUAGAAGAAGCACCGGCUAACUACGUG